GAACAAUGUCGAAGCUACUGCUCAUCCACUCUCCUCACUUCACUCCAGUCUAUCGCCGAACCAUCACUUCCGUCCUCUCAAAACCUUAUCUCUGCCUCUCUCCCUCUCCCCUUCCUCUCCAUUCCAACACUCGUCAUCUCCAUCUCCUAACCCAUCACUCUCUCCUCCCUUCCUUUCCUUCCUUCUUUGUCUCCAGAAAUUUGUCUGCUCGGGCCUUCGAUUCCUCCUCAGAGUCUAAAACUCAG
RNAcentral lists this unclassified non-coding RNA (245 nucleotides) under Hevea brasiliensis (rubber tree). The record is from RNAcentral. Lineage: Eukaryota; Viridiplantae; Streptophyta; Magnoliopsida; Malpighiales; Euphorbiaceae.